UCUUUUCCUUUUUUUCCCUCCUCCUCUUUCCUCCUUCCUUUCCGGGCGUUCUCCGGCUUUCUUGGGUUUCCCGGGCGCGUAGGCCGGAGAUUAAGCGUGUUGUGAAAUGUAGAUGCUCAACAUCUGCACUGCAGCGCGAACUGGUUUCCUUGAGUACGCACAAAGUGGGCGGAAUUCGUGGUGUAGCGGUGAAAUGCUUAGAUAUCACGAAGAACGCCGAGGGCGAAGGCAGCGCACGGGAGCGAAAAGGAAGAGGAAGAGAGAAAGGGAGGGGAGAGAACAGG
RNAcentral lists this ribosomal RNA (284 nucleotides) under Segatella copri DSM 18205. Its description in RNAcentral is "Prevotella copri DSM 18205 partial 16S ribosomal RNA". The stretch from base 55 to 284 matches the Rfam family "Bacterial small subunit ribosomal RNA", at positions 547 to 776 of the family's 1533-position model. The record is from RNAcentral. Lineage: Bacteria; Pseudomonadati; Bacteroidota; Bacteroidia; Bacteroidales; Prevotellaceae.